RNAcentral lists this ribosomal RNA (120 nucleotides) under Pteropus alecto (black flying fox). Lineage: Eukaryota; Metazoa; Chordata; Mammalia; Chiroptera; Pteropodidae. The record is from RNAcentral.
AUUUGCAUUCAUAUUUUUGAUAUUAAAAAGUUAACAUUGCUGAUCGCGUAAGCUAAGCAGGGUCAGGCCUGGUUAGUACUUGGAUGGGAGACCACCUAGGAAGACCAGGUGCUGCAGGUG